GUAAGACUCCAAGUAGACCACUUGGUUGAUAGGUCCCAGGUAUAAGGGUAGCAAUAUCCUUAGCUAAGGGAUACUAAUAAGUCGAGGGCUUGACCAA
Molecule: ribosomal RNA, 97 nt
Organism: Sporanaerobacter acetigenes DSM 13106
Lineage: Bacteria; Bacillati; Bacillota; Tissierellia; Tissierellales; Sporanaerobacteraceae
Rfam family: Bacterial large subunit ribosomal RNA
Source: Rfam